UACGUAGGGUGCGAGCGUUGUCCGGAAUUAUUGGGCGUAAAGAGCUUGUAGGCGGUUUGUCGCGUCUGCUGUGAAAAUCCGGGGCUCAACCCCGGACUUGCAGUGGGUACGGGCAGACUAGAGUGUGGUAGGGGAGACUGGAAUUCCUGGUGUAGCGGUGAAAUGCGCAGAUAUCAGGAGGAACACCGAUGGCGAAGGCAGGUCUCUGGGCCACUACUGACGCUGAGAAGCGAAAGCAUGGGGGGAGCGAACAGGAUUAGAUACCCUGGUAGUCCAUGCCGUAAACGUUGGGCGCUAGGUGUGGGACUCAUUCCACGAGUUCCGUGCCGCAGCUAACGCAUUAAGCGCCCCGCCUGGGGAGUACGGCCGCAAGGCUAAAAC
RNAcentral lists this ribosomal RNA (381 nucleotides) under uncultured bacterium. RNAcentral's name for it is "bacterial SSU rRNA". It matches the Rfam family "Bacterial small subunit ribosomal RNA", at positions 524 to 900 of the family's 1533-position model. The record is from RNAcentral.